CAAUAUUUUAUUUAUUUAUUGACCCUUUAUACUGUGCUUGAAAGGAAACUCUUAACAGACUGUUUUUCCAUUGAAGAACCACAGGCUCCCAAAGAAAAGGCUGCCUCCACAAAGAAGGUUCCAAAGGAAAAGACCAAGGCAGCUGCCUCAAAGACGGAGUCUCCUAAAGGAAAAGUUAAGACGCAAGAACUUGCGGUGUCCAAAGGGAAGUUCAAACCAGCUGUUGUGAAGAAAGGAGCUGUUGUCGCUGAAGAAAAGACAAAACCUUCCACGACAAAGAAAGAGGUUGUUGUUUCCAAAGAUAAAGCUAAAACAACAACUGCCAAGAAAGAUCCUGUGGAAAAGGACAAGGACAAAAUAACUCCUACAAAGAAAGAGCCUGCAAUCUCCAAAGAAAAAGUCAAGGCAACCACUAGCCAGACAACCACACCCUCUACCAAGAAAGUUGUUUUCGAACCCGAGGCCCCUAAAGAGAAAGCCACUCCAAGAGUCCCCACUAUGAGAAAAGGUAACCACACAAAUGUAGUGGUGCCAAUGGCAAAAGCCACCGGAAGAGUUGUCGCUAUAAGACCCACGUCUACGAGAAAAGGCCCUGCAAUGAAGGAGAAGCUAACUCACGCACCUGAAGCAGGCACAGUAAAGUGCAUCAGUCCCAUCUAUUAG
This 663-nucleotide long non-coding RNA is filed under the name Oncorhynchus mykiss (rainbow trout). Its description in RNAcentral is "lncRNA (ENSOMYG00000000250.2)". Lineage: Eukaryota; Metazoa; Chordata; Actinopteri; Salmoniformes; Salmonidae. The record is from RNAcentral.